UGGGGAAUCUUGCGCAAUGCGCGAAAGCGUGACGCAGCAACGCCGCGUGGGGGAAGAAGGCCUUCGGGUUGCAAACCCCUUUCAGGAGGGACGAAGCCCGGGCGGUUAAUAGCCGACCCGGGUGACGGUACCUCCAGAAGAAGCCCCGGCUAACUACGUGCCAGCAGCCGCGGUAACACGUAGGGGGCAAGCGUUGUCCGGAAUCAUUGGGCGUAAAGCGCGUGUAGGCGGUCCGGUAAGUCGGCUGUGAAAGUCCAGGGCUCAACCCUGGGAUGCCGGUCGAUACUGCCGGGCUAGAGUUCGGAAGAGGCGAGUGGAAUUCCCGGUGUAGCGGUGAAAUGCGCAGAUAUCGGGAGGAACACCAAUGGCGAAGGCAGCUCGCUGGGACGUUACUGACGCUGAGACGCGAAAGCGUGGGGAGCAAACAGGAUUAGAUACCCUGGUAGUCCACGCCGUAAACGAUGGGCACUAGGUGUGGGAGGUGUCGACUCCUCCCGUGCCGGAGCUAACGCAUUAAGUGCCCCGCCUGGGGAGUACGGCCGCAAGGCUAA
This 551-nucleotide ribosomal RNA is filed under the name uncultured Rubrobacteria bacterium. RNAcentral describes it as "bacterial SSU rRNA". It matches the Rfam family "Bacterial small subunit ribosomal RNA", at positions 355 to 897 of the family's 1533-position model. Lineage: Bacteria; Bacillati; Actinomycetota; Rubrobacteria. The record is from RNAcentral.